This 141-nucleotide small nuclear RNA is filed under the name Saimiri boliviensis boliviensis (Bolivian squirrel monkey). RNAcentral's name for it is "U4 spliceosomal RNA (ENSSBOG00000007739.1)". It matches the Rfam family "U4 spliceosomal RNA". From Rfam's summary of the family: U4 small nuclear RNA (U4 snRNA) is a component of the major U2-dependent spliceosome. The record is from Rfam by way of RNAcentral. Lineage: Eukaryota; Metazoa; Chordata; Mammalia; Primates; Cebidae.
AGCUUUGCACAGUGGCAGUAUCAUAGCCAAUGAGGUUUAUCCAAGGAGUGAUUAUUGCUAAUUGAAAACUUUUCCCAAUACCCUGCCAUGAGAACUUGAAAUAUAGUCGGAAUUGGCAAUUUUUGACAGUUUCUGUGGAGU